GGGCGUCUUAUUUGCUUUAUUGCACCACAUGUGUUUUUCUUUGAAACAAACUUGCUUUGGCGGUGGGCCCAGCCUGCCGCCAGAGGUCUAAACUUACAACCAAUUUUUUAUCAACUUGUCACACCAGAUUAUUACUUAAUAGUCAAAACUUUCAACAACGGAUCUCUUGGUUCUCGCAUCGAUGAAGAACGCAGCGAAAUGCGAUACGUAAUAUGAAUUGCAGAUAUUCGUGAAUCAUCGAAUCUUUGAACGCACAUUGCGCCCUCUGGUAUUCCGGAGGGCAUGCCUGUUUGAGCGUCGUUUCUCCCUCAAACCGCUGGGUUUGGUGUUGAGCAAUACGACUUGGGUUUGCUUGAAAGACGGUAGUGGUAAGGCGGGAUCGCUUUGACAAUGGCUUAGGUCUAACCAAAAACAUUGCUUGCGGCGGUAACGUCCACCACGUAUAUCUUCAAACUUUGACCUCAAAUCAGGUAGGACUACCCGCUGAACUUAAGCAUAUCAAAAGCCGGAGGAA
RNAcentral lists this ribosomal RNA (514 nucleotides) under Candida albicans. RNAcentral describes it as "eukaryotic LSU rRNA". The stretch from base 147 to 300 matches the Rfam family "5.8S ribosomal RNA". The record is from RNAcentral. Lineage: Eukaryota; Fungi; Ascomycota; Pichiomycetes; Serinales; Debaryomycetaceae.